CCUACGGGAGGCAGCAGUCGAGAAUCAUUCACAAUGGGGGAAACUCUGAUGGUGCGACGCCGCGUGGGGGAAUGAAGGUCUUCGGAUUGUAAACCCCUGUCAUGUGGGAGCAAACUAAAAUGAUAGUACUCCACGAGGAAGAGACGGCUAACUCUGUGCCAGCAGCCGCGGUAAUACAGAGGUCGCAAGCGUUGUUCGGAAUCACUGGGCGUAAAGCGUGCGUAGGCUGUUUCGUAAGUCGUGUGUGAAAGGCGCGGGCUCAACCCGCGGACGGCACAUGAUACUGCGGGACUAGAGUGAUGGAGGGGGAACCGGAAUGCUCGGUGUAGCAGUGAAAUGCGUAGAUAUC
RNAcentral lists this ribosomal RNA (349 nucleotides) under uncultured bacterium. RNAcentral describes it as "partial 16S ribosomal RNA". It matches the Rfam family "Bacterial small subunit ribosomal RNA", at positions 338 to 698 of the family's 1533-position model. The record is from RNAcentral.